This 463-nucleotide ribosomal RNA is filed under the name uncultured bacterium. RNAcentral describes it as "bacterial SSU rRNA". It matches the Rfam family "Bacterial small subunit ribosomal RNA", at positions 34 to 518 of the family's 1533-position model. The record is from RNAcentral.
CGCUGGCGGCAUGCCUAACACAUGCAAGUCGAACGGGGGUAGCAAUACCCUAGUGGCGAACGGGUGAGUAACACAUAAGCAAUCUGCCCUUCACAGGGGGAUAACAGCGGGAAACUGCUGCUAAUACCGCAUAAGACCACAGUACCGCAUGGUACAGGGGUAAAAACGAAUCAGUGGUGAAGGAUGAGCUUAUGUCCCAUUAGCUAGUUGGUGAGAUAACAGCCCACCAAGGCGACGAUGGGUAGCCGACCUGAGAGGGUGAUCGGCCACACUGGAACUGAGACACGGUCCAGACUCCUACGGGAGGCAGCAGUGGGGAAUAUUGGGCAAUGGAGGAAACUCCUUACCCAGCAAUGCCGCGUGAGUGAAGAAGGUCUUCGGAUUGUAAAGCUCUUUGAUUGGGGACGAAGAAAGUGACGGUACCCAAAGAACAAGCCCCGGCUAACUACGUGCCAGCAGCUGC